RNAcentral lists this long non-coding RNA (1032 nucleotides) under Homo sapiens (human). RNAcentral describes it as "HSALNT0328630". The record is from RNAcentral. Lineage: Eukaryota; Metazoa; Chordata; Mammalia; Primates; Hominidae.
ACUCAAAUCUUCAGCUUCUUCCUUUUCGAAAAUACAUACUGCAUUUUAUCCAUGUCUCCUUCAGAACUGAGCAAUUUAUGAAGGCUUUACCCAGGUGAGCUGAUUAUACAUGCUUUUUUCUUCCUUUUUGAAUGCCAUAUUCUCUAUUUCAAUCCUUGCCAUUCUAAAUUAGUUCCUUGGCAAAGGAUAAUAGCAAAGGGAAUAUUAUUUGAAUGUUAUAUGUGAAGACAAUUUAAUAACAUUUCUUUCCUGUCACAAAAUAUCCAACAGCUGUUUGUAACUUACUUUGUUACCAAAUUGAGAGAAUGGAUACAUCCAAAGAAAAUUCUAAAUAAUCAAUGUGUUUAGGCCUCUUUUAUUUAUGCUAAGAAAGACAUCAUGUGCACAUUUGAAUAAGCACCAUCCAUAUCCUAAUUUGGUUACUUCAAGUAAAUUGCACAUUUGGAAAGCAAGGAAAAUGCAACUGACAAGCUAGGCUUCUAAACAUAAUUGAAAUUCAUUCUGAAUGCAGGAAGGGUCAGUUUCAUUUCAAAGCAGUAGACCUUGUUUUGAAUUCCUAUAUUCUGCUUUGUAUCCAUUGCAGCAUUAGAUUUGUUAAUCACCAAAAUGAUUUUUUCAUCUGGUUAAGUUAGUAGAAUUUUCUUCAUUAAUUUUAUACUUAAUUUUACUUAAAUAAAUGUUUAUAUUUAAUUGUUUUUAUAUUAAUUACUUAAAACAUUUUGAUCUGAUUUCAUGAAAGAAGACAUUUAGGACGUUGAAAUUUUUUCUAUUACAAUUGCAGUUACUCUGUGAUUUAGAACAAUUUCAUAGGCAAAAUAUUCUGGCCAACAUCUUUUUGUAAAUAAUCCCAAAUCAAACUGCAAAACAGCCUAUUUACAAUCUUGCUGUUACUUAAUCUUUACAUCUGGUUAUUUCAAACAAAUUGUGCAUUUGGAAAGCAAGAUUUUUUCAGUGACCACUUACUAUGAUUUUUAUGGAAAUUAAUACUUGCUAUGAAAGACUCUUUUCACCAUUAAGAAUUCAGCCAGCUCC